CCUACGGGUGGCAGCAGUGGGGAAUAUUGCACAAUGGGGGAAACCCUGAUGCAGCGACGCCGCGUGAGUGAAGAAGUAAUUCGUUAUUUAAAGCUUCAUCAGCAGGGAAGAAAAUUACGGUACCCGAGUAAGAAGCCCCGGCCAACUACGUGCCAGCAGCCGCGGGAAUACGUCGGGGGCAAGCGUUAUCCGGAUUUACUGGGGGUAAAGGGGGCGUAGUGGGCAGUGCAAGUCUGGAGUGAAAGGCCGGGGGUCAACCCCCGGACAGCCCUGGAAACUGUACGGCUGGAGUGCAGGAGAGGUAAGUGGAAUGCCUAGUGUAGCGGUGAAAUGCGUAGAUAUUGGGAGGAACACCAGUGGCGAAGGCAGCUUACUGGAGUGUAACUGACGUUGAGGCUCGAAAGCGUGGGGAGCGAACAGGAUUAGAUACCCGGGUAGUC
RNAcentral lists this ribosomal RNA (440 nucleotides) under uncultured bacterium. RNAcentral's name for it is "partial 16S ribosomal RNA". It matches the Rfam family "Bacterial small subunit ribosomal RNA", at positions 338 to 795 of the family's 1533-position model. The record is from RNAcentral.